UGAGGAAUAUUGGGCAAUGCCCGCAAGGGUGACCCAGCAACGCCGCGUGGAGGAUGAAUGUCGUAAGAUUGUAAACUCCUGUUAGAGGGGAAGAAUAGUACCGGUUGGACCGGUAUAUGACUGUACCCUCAGAGAAAGCCCCGGCUAACUACGUGCCAGCAGCCGCGGUAAUACGUAGGGGGCAAGCGUUGUCAGGAUUUACUGGGUGUAAAGGGCGCGCAGGCGGGUCUUUAAGUCAGGGGUGAAAUCCUGGAGCUCAACUCCAGAACUGCCUUUGAUACUGAGGAUCUUGAGUUCGGGAGAGGUGAGUGGAACUGCGAGUGUAGAGGUGAAAUUCGUAGAUAUUCGCAAGAACACCAGUGGCGAAGGCGGCUCACUGGCCCGAUACUGACGCUGAGGCACGAAAGCGUGGGGAGCAAACA
This 422-nucleotide ribosomal RNA is filed under the name uncultured bacterium. Its description in RNAcentral is "bacterial SSU rRNA". It matches the Rfam family "Bacterial small subunit ribosomal RNA", at positions 355 to 774 of the family's 1533-position model. The record is from RNAcentral.